Molecule: ribosomal RNA, 1521 nt
Filed under: Staurojoenina assimilis
Lineage: Eukaryota; Parabasalia; Trichonymphida; Staurojoeninidae
Description: SSU rRNA
Rfam family: Eukaryotic small subunit ribosomal RNA
Source: RNAcentral
UCUUCGGUCAUAGAUUAAGCCAUGCAAGUGUUAGUUCCGGGAAACUUAAACUGCGAACAGCUCAUUAACACGUUUAGAAUCUCAUUCACCGCGAACGUUCAGUUCUUAUAUGGAUAGCAGGAGUAAUUCUCGUGCUAAUACAUGCGAUUGUUUCAGAAGAACGGAGCUAUUCUGAAAAAGUUUACCUUUUUCGGGUAAGUGAAUGGAUUGAAUGCCCUAUCAGCUAGUAAUUAGGAUCUUUGCCUAUUCAGGCUAUUACGGGUAACGGGCAGUUAUCGUUGGACUGCCGGAGAAGGGGCCUGAGAGAUAGCCACUAUGCCUACGGGCAGCAGCAGGCGCGAAACUUACCCAAUCGAAAUCCUCGGAGGUGGUAAUGACCAGUUUCAAUGUGUGCGAUUAGCACAUUUGAAUAGGAUUACACUUUUUCAGUGUUAUGAACUCUAAUUGAGGGCCAGUCUGGUGCCAGCAGCUGCGGUAAUUCCAGCUCAAUUAGUGUGCUCCCAUCUUGUUGCAGUUACAACGCCCGUAGUCUGAAAUCUCUUUUUGAGGGUUGAUUGGAAACGAGGUCUCUAUGAACAAAACAAAAAGCUUAAGUUAGUUAGAAUUGAAUGAUCAAGCGUGGUAAGACAUUUUUACCUUUCAUUGGGUAAAUUCAAGGAGAGUCGAUAGGGAUACUCAAAUUUUGUGACGAGCGGUGGAAUGCGUUGACUCACGAGAGGUGAACAGAAGCGAAAGCGGGUAUCAGGGAGAUUUCUGUCGAUCAAGGGCGAUAGUAGGGCUAUCAAACCGGAUUAGAGACCCGGGUAGUCCCUACCGUAAACGAUGUCGAUUACGGGUUGUUUUUGAGAGCAGAACGUUGAGAGAAAUCAAAAUUCAGGGACUCUAGGGGAAUUACGGCCGCAAGACUGAAACUUGAAAGAAUUGACGGAAGGGCACACCAGGGGUGGAGCCUGUGGCUUAAUUUGAAUCAACACGAGGAAACUUACCAGCACAAGAUGAUUUUAAUGAUUGACAGUCUGAAGGGCUUUCAAGAUAAGUUUUUUGGUGGUGCAUGGCCGUUGGUGGUGCGUGGGUUGUCCUGUCAAUUUGUCGAUUCAGAUAACGAGCGAGACUAUUAUCAAAUUCUGGUUGUCCUUUACUUUUUAGGAGGCACGACGCAAUUUGAGACUCCCCGUGCAUUAACGGGCGGAAGAGGAUAGCAAUAACAGGUCCGUGAUGUCCUUUAGAUGCGCUGGGCUGCACGCGUGCUACAAUGAAUUUGUCAGUGGGUUUUUACGAUAUUGAAAAAGUGAAUUACUCCUGUAAACAAAUUCGUGGUUGGGAUCGACGAUUGUAAUCAUUGUCGUGAACUAGGAAUCCCUUGUAAACGUGUGUCAACAUCGCACGUUGAAUACGUCCCUGCCCUUUGUACACACCGCCCGUCGCUCCUACCGAUUGAAUGACUUGGUGAAAAUGUUGGAGGCCAUUGGCCGAAAGCAUUUAAAUCACGUUAUUUAGAGGAAGGAGAAGUCGUAACAAGGA